This 253-nucleotide ribosomal RNA is filed under the name uncultured bacterium. RNAcentral's name for it is "partial 16S ribosomal RNA". It matches the Rfam family "Bacterial small subunit ribosomal RNA", at positions 524 to 776 of the family's 1533-position model. The record is from RNAcentral.
AACGUAGGUGGCAAGCGUUAUCCGGAAUUACUGGGCGUAAAGGGCAUGCAGGCGGUCGGACGCGUUUCGGGUGACAGCGGGUGGCUUAACUACCCGAGUGGUCGAAAGACGGUUUGACUUGAGGACGCGAGAGGGACACGGAAUUCCGGGUGGAGUGGUGAAAUGCGUAGAGAUCCGGAGGAACACCGAAGGCGAAGGCAGUGUCCUGGCGCGUAACUGACGCUGAGGUGCGAAAGCCAGGGGAGCGAACGGG